CGUCAUGGAUGGUCUGGAGGAACGCAUGUGGAGACAUCUGAAGACUCUAAACAAAUUUUAUGAAAUGGUAAUGCAGCUGCGUUUGUGUUUCACUGGUACGUUGGAGUCUUACAAUUUCCCUUUGACUUUUGUUGCGCAUGAGAGCAUCGUCAUGGAUGGCCUGGAGGAACGCAUGUGGAGACAUCUGAAGACUCUAAACAAAUUUUAUGAAAUGGUAAUGCAGCUGCGUUUGUGUUUCACUGGUACGUUGGAGUCUUACAAUUUCCCUUUGACUUUUGUUGCGCAUGAGAGCAUCGUCAUGGAUGGCCUGGAAGAACACAUGUGGAGACAUCUGAAGACUCUAAACAAAUUUUAUGAAAUGGUAAUGCAGCUGCGUUUGUGUUUCACUGAUUUCAGAUUACUGAGAACACUUUUUCACGGAUACUUGGUACAGAGGUACAUGCUACUGUUCCUUUGUGUUGGGCAAUGAUCUUCUAAGGAACUGCGACAGACAAAUCGAAAAUCGAGGGAGAAGCUUUUCACAGUAACAACAGCUUGGAGAGUGCGUGUGACGGGAAUAUAUUUCUGUAUCCCUGGGCCUGAUUGUGAUGAUACACAUCAAAGGUCUGUUGCUACAAACAACAGGCUGCUCCUGAGGCAUUUCUGUGCAUAAAAGACAGAAUUUUCUCUGAAGUGUAAACAUGCUCUUUCUAUCCAAGACCUCGUGUACCAGUGAACAUGCCUACUUGUGAAUGCUCAAUUUUGCUUUGAGGGCAUGUUUCUUGCUCAACAGGCAUAUCAGAACAUCAUAUGAACUGCCAGUCCUUGAUAAACUACAACCUGUUCUAAAGAAUUCAUAAAAGCAAGGCAUGAAUGCAAAAAACUUGUUCUUGUCUCUUGGUAGUGAGUAAUGUGCAUAGUUGUUUGUUAUUGUGUCUAAACAGAGUGACUUGUAGCAAUAUCUGACUUCUCCAUUACAAAGUGCACAUGAACGUAUCUAUGAAUGAUAAUAAAAUAAUUCGAGGCUUUAUAUCGUGAAACAACUGUGAUCCUAUCUGUGAAUGACUUAUUGCUUGCAGAAUAAUAAUUACCACUGUGAGUACAACUAAUAAAAAGUUCAUUAGGA
Molecule: long non-coding RNA, 1105 nt
Organism: Ornithodoros turicata
Lineage: Eukaryota; Metazoa; Arthropoda; Arachnida; Ixodida; Argasidae
Exons: 2
Source: RefSeq, a predicted model, not a curated record